CCCGCAAAGUUUUCUUUUUCCUUUUUUGUUUGUUUGUGAUGUAAAUCAACCAUAUUGUAAACACAUAGAGCAAUAUAUAUUGUUGUUUAGAUUGAACCCAAUUGGCACUUAUAAAAUAAAGAGAACUAAUUACCCAUUGCCGGCGGCCGUGAGUUAAUUGGUUACGAUCGGUUCAUCGACGCAUGAAAUGACGAAACAAAUGGUUUCCUGGCUUUCCCCUUGUGCAUGGUGUGCCAUGUAUAUGUAAAUGAAGGGUGUGUUAAUGGUAAAAUCAAAGUGAUAGCCCUGUUCCUUUGCAAACAAUACUAGCGAAUGGGCAUGAAUGUUCCACAUUUGAGGGAUAAAGUCUCAAUUCAGACCGACGGGACAUAAUUUAGUCGGUCCAUGGGGUAGAUGUUUGCCUUUUCAUGCUGACAUGUCGUAAUACAACACUAUGAUAUAGUAAAGUGACAUGAAAACCCAAGUUUUGGUGGAAAGCUAGUAACAAAACACUAAGAAACAUUCAAACCCAAGCCCUAGAGUGAGGAAAACACGUAAUUCGGACCGAGGGAGAAGAAUUCUGUGAGGGCUUGGGGUAGAUUUGUUGUUUUACAUGUGCCCAUGUGGCAAUAGAACACUGAGUAAACAUCAGGAAAACCAAUGUUUUGGUGAAAAACUACCCCGUAGACGCCACGAGGCCCGCAUGAGGGGGCGAUGCCUCAAAUCACACGACGGAUGGUCUAGAGAACUUGAAAUCUUGGAUGAUGUCAUCAAAUGGGUACAUAGAGAUGGUGUUAAGAGGAAAACAGAAUCCAAGGAUCUGAGGUUGCACUUCCUUCACAAACUAGACUAACCCGCACGAACGUUCUGGAAUUAGAGGGGGAAAAGUCACAAUUCGGACGGACGGAGCCGAAUCCGUUGAGGACUUGGGUAGAUGUUUGCUUUUUCAUGUUGACAUGUCUUAAUACAACACUAUGAUAUAGUAAAGUGACAUGGAAACCCAAUGUUUUGGUGAAAAACUACCUCGUAGACGCCACGAGGCUCGCAGGAGGGGGCGAUGCCUCAAAUCACACGACGAAUGGUCUAGAGAACUUGAAAUCUUGGAUGAUGUCAUAAAAUGGGUACAUAAAUAUGGUGUUAAGAGAAAAACACAAUCCAAGUAUCUGAGGUUGCACAUCCUUCACAAACUAGACUAACCCGGAUGAACGUUCCGGGCUUAGGGUGGAAAAGUCGCAAUUCGGACGGACGGAGCAGAAUCCUUUGAGGACUUGGGUAGAUGUUUGCUUUUUCAUGUUGGCAUGUACUAAUACAACACUAUGAUAGAGUAAAGUGGCAUGAAAACCCAAGUUUUGGUGAAAAGCUAGCCCGCGGACGCCACGAGGCCCACAGGAGAGGGUGACGUCUGAUUUAGAAUCAACGGAGCUGAAAUUAGCGAGGACUUGAGUUAAAUUUUUGGUUUUCUUUGCACACAUUUUCUAGUAAAACAGUAAGACAAAUUAAAGUGGCAAGAAAUCCCAAGUUUGUGAAAUAACUAAGGAAAAAAAAAGAAAAAAUGGUCUUUGCCGGUGGCUUUAGUAAGGGCCGCCGGCAAAGACACCUAUGCCGACGGCUUUUUAUCGGGCCGCCGGCAAAGAUUUAUGCAAAAAAAAAUCUCCCCUAACCCUAUCUCUCUUUCUCUCUCUCACUCCCUCUCCUUCUCUCGUGCCUAACCCUCCCGACCGCCGCGUCGAUCCGCCGCCGCCUCCUCCCUACCCCGCCGCCCCCUUCUCCCGGCCCCGCAUCCCUCCC
RNAcentral lists this long non-coding RNA (1767 nucleotides) under Brachypodium distachyon (stiff brome). RNAcentral's name for it is "long non-coding RNA (BDIS_LNC001351)". Lineage: Eukaryota; Viridiplantae; Streptophyta; Magnoliopsida; Poales; Poaceae. The record is from RNAcentral.